Cyanistes caeruleus (blue tit) is the source of this 965-nucleotide non-coding RNA. NCBI's taxonomy places the organism in Eukaryota, Metazoa, Chordata, Aves, Passeriformes, Paridae. The record is from RefSeq and is a predicted model, not a curated record.
UUCAUCCCUCCAGGCAGCAGGUGGCAGAAGAGGAGGAUCCACGAUUUUCAACAGGGCUGAAUAUCGGUGUUUCUGAGCUUUAUUGGGCUAAAUGUUGGUGCUUUGAUUUUUUUUUUUUUUUGUGGGGGCUGAAUCUUUAUAUUUUGGAGGGGGAUUGGAUAACUCUUUAUGUUUGGGGAGUUUUUGAUUUGUGCCUUGACAUUUGGAGGGUUUUUGGGCUGAAUCCUUAUAGACACAAGAUGUUCUUAUAGACACAAGAUGCCCAUUGACUUGCUGAGAUGACCUUGGGCAAGGAGGAACCCCCAGCCCAAGACAAUAUUCUCUUGUUUUUUUCCCCAAACCAGGAUUUUUCAUUCCCAAGGCAUACCAGGAUGGAGGAGGAGGAAAAGCCCUGGAGAUUCUGCACAAGGAGGGGCUGCAAACCCAGCCCAGGGAGCAGUGUAGAGGAAAGACCCACCUUGUGAUGGGAAGGUGGACAGAUAUCGAGCUGGAGGAGAAGCUACACAAGUGCCUGGAAUGUUGGAAGGGUUUCAGCCAGAGCUCCAACCUGAUCUGGAGCCAGGUGUUCCAUGCUGGAGAACAGCCCUACAUCUGCUUGGAAUGUCAGAAGAGAUCUGGGUGGACCUCUGCCCUGAGAAAACACCAGCACAUCCACAAUGGGGAGGCCCCAUGAGUGCCCCGAGUGUGGGAAGAGCUUCGUGUGCUGCUCCAGCUCCAUCUCCCAUGGAAGGAUCCACUGGAUGGAUCCACAUGGAAGGAUCAUCCAUUGGAUGAUCCCCAGGGAUCCCUGUUGGGCAGAGCUAUGGGGAUUCCUGUUCCAGGUGACCCCUAUUGGGUUUAGGGAAGGUGUUAGAGAGAUUUCUUGUCCUUGUCCUGCUGUGAUUUGAUUGGUAAUAAAUUCCCCUCCUGUGCCCAGGCUGGGUCUGUUGUGCCCCUGCCGGUGCUCGGGGCGGGAUCUCUCCCGG